UACGAAGGGGGCUAGCGUUGCUCGGAAUGACUGGGCGUAAAGGGCGCGUAGGCGGCGAUCACAGUCAGAUGUGAAAUUCCUGGGCUUAACCUGGGGGCUGCAUUUGAUACGUGGUUGCUUGAGUGGGGAAGAGGGUCGUGGAAUUCCCAGUGUAGAGGUGAAAUUCGUAGAUAUUCGGAAGAACACCAGUGGCGAAGGCGACUUACUGGACACAUAUUGACGCUGAGGUGCGAAAGCGUGGGGAGCAAACAGG
RNAcentral lists this ribosomal RNA (253 nucleotides) under uncultured bacterium. RNAcentral's name for it is "partial 16S ribosomal RNA". It matches the Rfam family "Bacterial small subunit ribosomal RNA", at positions 524 to 776 of the family's 1533-position model. The record is from RNAcentral.